Molecule: long non-coding RNA, 658 nt
Organism: Mustela erminea (ermine)
Lineage: Eukaryota; Metazoa; Chordata; Mammalia; Carnivora; Mustelidae
Exons: 3
Source: RefSeq, a predicted model, not a curated record
GAUUCCCUUUCUCUUUCUCUCUCUCUCUUAAAUAAAUCUUAAAAAAAAAAAAAAAAAAAAAAAAAUGAAGGCUAAAAAACAUAUGACCAUCUCCAGAGAUGCCGAAAAAGCAUUUGAUAAGAUUUAACACAAACAGGUUUAGAGGAAACCUUUCUCAACAUAACAAAGGCCAUUAUGACAAACACACAGCUAAAAUUAUACUCGGUCAGGAAAACUUUCAGUUAACAGCUUUACCUGUAAGAUCUAAAACAAAACAAGGAUGUCAGUCUACUCUUUGGGUAGAUUGACAUCAAGGAUGUCCAUCAAACUCACUUUUACUGAACAUAGUACUGGAAGUCCUGGCCACAGCAGUCAGGUAAGAGAAAGACGUAAGAGGCAUCAAAAUUGGUAAGGAAAAAAUAAAACUUUCACUGUUUGCAGAAAACAUAAUACUAUAUAUAAAAACCCUGAGGACACCACCAGAGAACUACUAAGAGCUGAUGAAUGAAUUCAGUAAUGUCACAGGAUAUAGAAUUUAGUAUACAUGAAUCUUUUAUUUCUGUACAUUAAUAAUGAAAUAACAGAAAGAGAAAUUAAGAAAGCAAUCCUAUUUAUAAUUGUACCAAACGGAAUAAAAUACCUAGGAUUAAACUUAACUAAGGAGAAAACCUGUACUCCA